AACGCUAGCGGCAGGCUUAACACAUGGCAAGUCGAGGGGCAGCGCGUUGUAGCAAUACGAUGGCGGCGACCGGCGCAAGGGUGCGUAACGCGUGAGCAAUCUGCCCGUAGUCAGGGGGAUAAGCGAUGGAAACGUCGUCUAAUACCGCAUAACAGCGAGGGAGGCAUCUCCUUUGUUUGAAAGCUUCGGUGGAUACGGAUGAGCUCGCGAGACAUUAGUUAGUUGGCGGGUAACGGCCCACCAAGACCACGAUGUCUAGGGGAACUGAGAGGUUGGUCCCCCACACUGGAACUGAGACACGGUCCAGACUCCUACGGGAGGCAGCAGUGAGGAAUAUUGGACAAUGGUCGGAAGACUGAUCCAGCCAUGCCGCGUGAAGGAUUAAGGUCCUAUGGAUUGUAAACUUCUUUUGAGUGGGAGCAAUAAGGUGUACGCGUACACCGAUGAGAGUACCAUUCGAAUAAGCAUCGGCUAACUCCGUGCC
This 484-nucleotide ribosomal RNA is filed under the name uncultured bacterium. Its description in RNAcentral is "bacterial SSU rRNA". It matches the Rfam family "Bacterial small subunit ribosomal RNA", at positions 32 to 509 of the family's 1533-position model. The record is from RNAcentral.